This 404-nucleotide ribosomal RNA is filed under the name Verrucomicrobiota bacterium. RNAcentral's name for it is "Verrucomicrobia bacterium partial 16S ribosomal RNA". It matches the Rfam family "Bacterial small subunit ribosomal RNA", at positions 355 to 776 of the family's 1533-position model. The record is from RNAcentral. Lineage: Bacteria; Pseudomonadati; Verrucomicrobiota.
UGGGGAAUAUUGCACAAUGGGGGAAACCCUGAUGCAGCGACGCCGCGUGAGCGAAGAAGGUUUUCGAAUCGUAAAGCUCUGUCCUAUGAGAAGAUAAUGACGGUAUCAUAGGAGGAAGCCCCGGCUAAAUACGUGCCAGCAGCCGCGGUAAUACGUAUGGGGCGAGCGUUGUCCGGAAUUAUUGGGCGUAAAGCGCGCGCAGGUGGUUUAGAAAGUCUGAUGUGAAAGCCCACGGCUCAACCGUGGAGGGUCAUUGGAAACUAAUAAACUUGAGUGCAGGAGAGAAAAGGGGAAUUCCUAGUGUAGCGGUGAAAUGCGUAGAGAUUAGGAGGAAAACCGGUGGCGAAAGCGGCUUUUUGGCCUGCAACUGACACUGAGGCGCGAAAGCGGGGGGAGCAAACAGG